Molecule: ribosomal RNA, 433 nt
Filed under: uncultured bacterium
Lineage: Bacteria
Description: partial 16S ribosomal RNA
Rfam family: Bacterial small subunit ribosomal RNA
Source: RNAcentral
AACGAACGCUGGCGGCAUGCCUAACGCAUGCAAGUCGAACGAGACCUUCGGGUUUAGUGGCGCACGGGUGCGUAACGCGGGGGAACCUGCCCUUAGGUUCGGAAUAACUCCCCGAAAGGGGUGCGAAUACCGGCGAAUGUCUUCCGACCAAAGAUUUAUUGCGUUUGGAUGGGCUUGCGUUGGAUUAGCUAGUUGGUAGGGUAAAAGCCUUCCAAGGCGACGAUGCGUAGCUGGUUUGAAAGGAUGAUCAGCCACACUGGUACUGGGCAACGGCCCAGACUCCUACGGGAGGCAGCAGUGGGGAAUAUUGGACAAUGGGCGAUAGCCUGAUCCAGCAAUGCCGCGUGAGUGAUGAAGGCCUUAGGGUUGUAAAGCUCUUUUACCCGGGAUGAUAAUGACAGUACCGGGAGAAUAAGCACCGGCUAACUCCGUG